This 1471-nucleotide ribosomal RNA is filed under the name Curtobacterium citreum. RNAcentral's name for it is "bacterial SSU rRNA". It matches the Rfam family "Bacterial small subunit ribosomal RNA". Lineage: Bacteria; Bacillati; Actinomycetota; Actinomycetes; Micrococcales; Microbacteriaceae. The record is from RNAcentral.
GACGAACGCUGGCGGCGUGCUUAACACAUGCAAGUCGAACGAUGAUGCCCAGCUUGCUGGGUGGAUUAGUGGCGAACGGGUGAGUAACACGUGAGUAACCUGCCCCUGACUCUGGGAUAAGCGUUGGAAACGACGUCUAAUACUGGAUAUGACUGCCGGCCGCAUGGUCUGGUGGUGGAAAGAUUUUUUGGUUGGGGAUGGACUCGCGGCCUAUCAGCUUGUUGGUGAGGUAAUGGCUCACCAAGGCGACGACGGGUAGCCGGCCUGAGAGGGUGACCGGCCACACUGGGACUGAGACACGGCCCAGACUCCUACGGGAGGCAGCAGUGGGGAAUAUUGCACAAUGGGCGAAAGCCUGAUGCAGCAACGCCGCGUGAGGGAUGACGGCCUUCGGGUUGUAAACCUCUUUUAGUAGGGAAGAAGCGUAAGUGACGGUACCUGCAGAAAAAGCACCGGCUAACUACGUGCCAGCAGCCGCGGUAAUACGUAGGGUGCAGAGCGUUGUCCGGAAUUAUUGGGCGAAGAGCUCCGUAGGCGGUUUGUCGCGUCUGCUGUGAAAUCCCGAGGCUCAACCUCGGGCUAUGCAGUGGGUACGGGCAGACUAGAGUGCGGUAGGGGAGAUUGGAAUUCCUGGUGUAGCGGUGGAAUGCGCAGAUUCAGGAGGAACAACCGAUGGCGAAGGAGAGUCUCUGGGCCGUAACUGACGCUGAGGAGCGAAAGCGUGGGGAGCGAACAGGAUUAGAUACCCUGGUAGUCCACGCCGUAAACGUUGGGCGCUAGAUGUAGGGACCUUUCCACGGUUUCUGUGUCGUAGCUAACGCAUUAAGCGCCCCGCCUGGGGAGUACGGCCGCAAGGCUAAAACUCAAGGAAUUGACGGGGGCCCGCACAAGCGGCGGAGCAUGCGGAUUAAUUCGAUGCAACGCGAAGCAACCUUACCAAGGCUUGACAUACACCGGAAACGGCCAGAGAUGGUUGCCCCCUUGUGGUCGGUGUACAGGUGGUGCAUGGUUGUCGUCAGCUCGUGUCGUGAGAUGUUGGGUUAAGUCCCGCAACGAGCGCAACCCUCGUUCUAUGUUGCCAGCGCGUUAUGGCGGGGAUCAUAGGAGAGCUGCCGGGGUCAACUCGGAGGAAGGUGGGGAUGACGUCAAAUCAUCAUGCCCCUUAUGUCUUGGGCUUCACGCAUGCUACAAUGGCCGGUACAAAGGGCUGCGAUACCGUAAGGUGGAGCGAAUCCCAAAAAGCCGGUCUCAGUUCGGAUUGAGGUCUGCAACUCGACCUCAUGAAGUCGGAGUCGCUAGUAAUCGCAGAUCAGCAACGCUGCGGUGAAUACGUUCCCGGGCCUUGUACACACCGCCCGUCAAGUCAUGAAAGUCGGUAACACCCGAAGCCGGUGGCCUAACCCUUGUGGAAGGAGCCGUCGAAGGUGGGAUCGGUGAUUAGGACUAAGUCGUAACAAGGUAGCCGUACCGG